RNAcentral lists this ribosomal RNA (492 nucleotides) under uncultured bacterium. RNAcentral describes it as "partial 16S ribosomal RNA". It matches the Rfam family "Bacterial small subunit ribosomal RNA", at positions 29 to 507 of the family's 1533-position model. The record is from RNAcentral.
AGUGAACGCUGGCGGUAGGCCUAACACAUGCAAGUCGAACGGCAGCACAGUAAGAGUUUGCUCUUACGGGUGGCGAGUGGCGGACGGGUGAGGAAUAUAUCGGAAUCUACUUUUUCGUGGGGGAUAACGUAGGGAAACUUACGCUAAUACCGCAUACGACCUACGGGUGAAAGCAGGGGAUCUUCGGACCUUGCGCGAUUGAAUGAGCCGAUGUCGGAUUAGCUAGUUGGCGGGGUAAAGGCCCACCAAGGCGACGAUCCGUAGCUGGUCUGAGAGGAUGAUCAGCCACACUGGAACUGAGACACGGUCCAGACUCCUACGGGAGGCAGCAGUGGGGAAUAUUAGACAAUGGGCGCAAGCCUGAUCCAGCCAUACCGCGUGGGUGAAGAAGGCCUUCGGGUUGUAAAGCCCUUUUGUUGGGAAAGAAAAGCGGCAGGUUAAUACCCCGCUGUUCUGACGGUACCCAAAGAAUAAGCACCGGCUAACUUCGUG